RNAcentral lists this RNase P RNA (398 nucleotides) under Sphingomonas adhaesiva. Its description in RNAcentral is "Bacterial RNase P class A". It matches the Rfam family "Bacterial RNase P class A". Rfam says of the family: Ribonuclease P (RNase P) is a ubiquitous endoribonuclease, found in archaea, bacteria and eukarya as well as chloroplasts and mitochondria. Lineage: Bacteria; Pseudomonadati; Pseudomonadota; Alphaproteobacteria; Sphingomonadales; Sphingomonadaceae. RNAcentral also lists the same sequence under 1 other name. The record is from Rfam by way of RNAcentral.
UCAGAGGGCCGGGCGGCCGCGUCAUGUAGCGAUACAUGCCGAGGAAAGUCCGGGCUCCGCGGAACGACGGUGGCGGGUAACGCCCGCCGGCCAAGGGCGCGAGCCCGCGGUCAGGGACAGUGCAACAGAGAGCAGACGGCCUGGGCCUCGGCCCGGUCAAGGUGAAAGGGUGCGGUAAGAGCGCACCGCGCGCGCCGGUAACGGCCGCGGCACGGUAAACCCCACCGGGAGCAAGACCGAAUAGGGGCGGCAUGGGCGCAGCGAUGCGUCCGGGGCGUGUUCCCGCCCGCUGCCCGGGUUGGUUGCUGGAGCGUGUCGGCAACGGCACGCCGAGAGGAAUGGUCGCCCAUCUUCCUUCGGGGAGUGGACAGAACCCGGCUUACAGGCCCUCUGACGUU